Molecule: non-coding RNA, 29 nt
Filed under: Homo sapiens (human)
Lineage: Eukaryota; Metazoa; Chordata; Mammalia; Primates; Hominidae
Source: RNAcentral
CCACCUACGAAUAGGUCAAGAAUGUGCUU